AGAGCGAACGCUGGCGGCAGGCCUAACACAUGCAAGUCGAGCGGCCGUAGCAAUACGGCAGCGGCAGACGGGAGAGUAACACGUGGGAACGCGCCCUUCGGUUCGGAAUAACUCAGGGAAACUUGGGCUAAUACCGGAUACGCCCUUACGGGGAAAGAUUUAUUGCCGAAGGAACGGCCCGCGUCCGAUUAGCUUGUUGGUGAGGUAACGGCUCACCAAGGCGACGAUCGGUAGCUGGUCUGAGAGGAUGACCAGCCUCACUGGGACUGAGACACGGCCCAGACUCCUACGGGAGGCAGCAGUGGGGAAUAUUGGACAAUGGGCGCAAGCCUGAUCCAGCCAUGCCGCGUGGGUGAUGAAGGCCCUAGGGUUGUAAAGCCCGUUUCGGGCGGGGAAGAUAAUGACGGUACCCGCAGAAGAAGCCCCGGCUAACUUCGUGCCAGCAGCCGC
Molecule: ribosomal RNA, 450 nt
Filed under: uncultured bacterium
Lineage: Bacteria
Description: SSU rRNA
Rfam family: Bacterial small subunit ribosomal RNA
Source: RNAcentral